RNAcentral lists this long non-coding RNA (720 nucleotides) under Androctonus crassicauda. The record is from RNAcentral. Lineage: Eukaryota; Metazoa; Arthropoda; Arachnida; Scorpiones; Buthidae.
UGUAAAUAUGGGUUCAUUUUGCGCCGGCUUUUGUAGGAAUGGAACUGCGGCAUAAACCGAGGGCUACCUGUACAUGGAUUAGAAAUUUAAUAUUGACCACAGCAAUGCUGGGAAUGAUGACAUGUGAUCCUGAUUGUAUUAGUACAUAUAAGAUUGAACCUUCUCCUCCCAUCACUGUAAAAGAUAUUGCCUUUCCAUGUGCUACACUUUCACAUUAACAUCAUACAUGUCUGUGUGGGACAGAAGAUCAGCAGAGAAGAAUGCUUUUCCAAGUUGGAGAAGCAUUCUUAGCUUGAAAUUGUGAGAAGCCAUACCACAAAGAUUUGUUAUCAGAGGUUGUAGAGGCUUAUGAAAAUUCAUUAUCAUACAAUAUGGUAAGGAAGUGAGUAAAUACAUUCAAGUGAGAACGUGAACAAUGAGCGUAGGCUUGGGUGUUCCCCAUUUCGGAUGGACAAAUACUCAACGGACAAAUUGUAAAUGCUGUAUACUACACACAUUUCUUGUAACACAUCCUGCAUGAAGUCCUAUAGAGAAAAUGGCAUCACUUUUCUGACCACUCUUACCAUUAUCUUCCAUGACAACACUCAUUAUCUUGAGGCUAGUGUUGCCUGCGAAUUGCUUACAAGAUGGGAUUGUGAAGUGGUAGAGAUUAUAUUCAGGAACUGUAAAAGUGAAUCUGUGCUAUGCCUUUCCUGUGAUAAUCUGUAUCAUUGUGAUCAC